RNAcentral lists this transfer RNA (67 nucleotides) under Marmota monax (woodchuck). It matches the Rfam family "tRNA". Rfam says of the family: Transfer RNA (tRNA) molecules are approximately 80 nucleotides in length. Their secondary structure includes four short double-helical elements and three loops (D, anti-codon, and T loops). Lineage: Eukaryota; Metazoa; Chordata; Mammalia; Rodentia; Sciuridae. The record is from Rfam by way of RNAcentral.
GGUUGUGGCUCAGUGGUAGAGCGCUCGCCUUGCACGUGAGAGACUCUAAGUUCCAUCCUCAGCACCA